Long non-coding RNA from Perca fluviatilis (European perch), 541 nucleotides. RefSeq lists it as uncharacterized. The transcript is spliced from 3 exons. Lineage: Eukaryota; Metazoa; Chordata; Actinopteri; Perciformes; Percidae. The record is from RefSeq and is a predicted model, not a curated record.
UGUUGUACUGACAGUCGUGCCCUGAAGGCUAUGCUGUGAGCAGCCACAAAUAUUCAAAUAUGAAUUGCAUUCAUAUAAAAACAAUUUACAUGCAUGCAAUUUCUCAUAUGAAUUGUAUAGGUAGAGAGGGAGGAUUGUGAUGCUAAAUAAAAUGGCUGUUAUCUUCACAUUGGAUUACAUUCUUCUGUUAGUCUGCAUUGCUUUUACAUGGUGAUAUCCGAAUAGUUAAUACAAUAGCAAUUGUAUCUUUGCUUAAGCUCUUUUUGUGUUUGUUUCAGAUCAAUGGAUAGCUUUGUCAUUAACACUUUGACAGAGUGCCAGACCUUGUCGAAAGAUUUAAAGUAGCUUCCAUGUAAUGUGUCAAAGUGACUCCAAUAGAUGAAUAGAGCCAGCCACUGGAUUCCUGGAGGAAAGGCUGCGAAACGUCAGGAAGCGGCUGAGAUCAACCAGCAGGUCGCAGAGCACGGCACAGACACCACCACAAACGCCAGAUGAUGGCGCUCUUGCAAGGGCUCUCAUACCAGAAUGUACCAUAUCAGAC